Acanthosepion pharaonis is the source of this 96-nucleotide non-coding RNA. The record is from the annotation of a GenBank genome assembly. NCBI's taxonomy places the organism in Eukaryota, Metazoa, Mollusca, Cephalopoda, Sepiida, Sepiidae.
UGAAACACUGGUUCUCAAAUGAUAACCAAAGUUAAGCAACAUCGAGCUGGUUCAGUACUUGGAUGGGUGACCACUUGAAAAUAUCAGGUGCUGUAA